GAUCCUGGCUCAGGAUGAACGCUGGCGGCGUGCCUAAUACAUGCAAGUAGAACGCCGAAGGAGGAGCUUGCUCUUUCCGGAUGAGUUGCGAACGGGUGAGUAACGCGUAGGUAACCUGCCUGGUAGGCGGGGGGAGUAACUAUUGGAAACGGAAUAGCUAAUACCGCAUAACAGUAGAUAUUGCAUGAUAUCUGCUUGAAAGGGGGCAAUUGCUCCACUACCAGAUGGACCUGCGUUGUA
RNAcentral lists this ribosomal RNA (240 nucleotides) under uncultured bacterium. RNAcentral describes it as "partial 16S ribosomal RNA". It matches the Rfam family "Bacterial small subunit ribosomal RNA", at positions 15 to 240 of the family's 1533-position model. The record is from RNAcentral.